CCUACGGGCGGCAGCAGUGGGGAAUAUUGGACAAUGGGGGGAACCCUGAUCCAGCCAUGCCGCGUGUGUGAAGAAGGCCCUCGGGUUGUAAAGCACUUUCAGUGAGGAAGAACGCCUGGUGGUUAAUACCCAUCAGGAAAGACAUCACUCACAGAAGAAGCACCGGCUAACUCCGUGCCAGCAGCCGCGGUAAUACGGAGGGUGCGAGCGUUAAUCGGAAUUACUGGGCGUAAAGCGCGCGUAGGUGGCUUGAUAAGCCGGUUGUGAAAGCCCCGGGCUCAACCUGGGAACGGCAUCCGGAACUGUCAAGCUAGAGUGCAGGAGAGGGAGGUAGAAUUCCCGGUGUAGCGGUGAAAUGCGUAGAGAUCGGGAGGAAUACCAGUGGCGAAGGCGGCCUUCUGGACUGACACUGACACUGAGGUGCGAAAGCGUGGGUAGCAAACAGGAUUAGAUACCCUGGUAGUC
This 465-nucleotide ribosomal RNA is filed under the name Vreelandella stevensii. Its description in RNAcentral is "partial 16S ribosomal RNA". It matches the Rfam family "Bacterial small subunit ribosomal RNA", at positions 338 to 795 of the family's 1533-position model. The record is from RNAcentral. Lineage: Bacteria; Pseudomonadati; Pseudomonadota; Gammaproteobacteria; Oceanospirillales; Halomonadaceae.